CCUACGGGAGGCUGCAGUGGGGAAUAUUGGACAAUGGGGGGAACCCUGAUCCAGCCAUGCCGCGUGUGUGAAGAAGGCCCUCGGGUUGUAAAGCACUUUCAGUGAGGAAGAACGCCUGGUGGUUAAUACCCAUCAGGAAAGACAUCACUCACAGAAGAAGCACCGGCUAACUCCGUGCCAGCAGCCGCGGUAAUACGGAGGGUGCGAGCGUUAAUCGGAAUUACUGGGCGUAAAGCGCGCGUAGGUGGCUUGAUAAGCCGGUUGUGAAAGCCCCGGGCUCAACCUGGGAACGGCAUCCGGAACUGUCAAGCUAGAGUGCAGGAGAGGAAGGUAGAAUUCCCGGUGUAGCGGUGAAAUGCGUAGAGAUCGGGAGGAAUACCAGUGGCGAAGGCGGCCUUCUGGACUGACACUGCCCCUGAGGUGCGAAAGCGUGGGUAGCAAACAGGAUUAGAUACCCUGGUAGUC
RNAcentral lists this ribosomal RNA (465 nucleotides) under Vreelandella stevensii. RNAcentral's name for it is "partial 16S ribosomal RNA". It matches the Rfam family "Bacterial small subunit ribosomal RNA", at positions 338 to 795 of the family's 1533-position model. The record is from RNAcentral. Lineage: Bacteria; Pseudomonadati; Pseudomonadota; Gammaproteobacteria; Oceanospirillales; Halomonadaceae.